Molecule: long non-coding RNA, 1072 nt
Organism: Varroa destructor (honeybee mite)
Lineage: Eukaryota; Metazoa; Arthropoda; Arachnida; Mesostigmata; Varroidae
Source: RefSeq, a predicted model, not a curated record
UGGUUGACGACAAGCGGAGCAGACGAUGGCUUUCAUUAGCCUACAUAUCUUUGGUUCCAUGAACACUGAAGCUACUGGGUAGGGCUGGUCUGAAUCCAGCUUUAAAGGUUGGUCCGUUCUUGAACGCCUUCUGCUCUACGACACCUAAUUGCAAUCAGUGCACGAAGAAGCGCCCGGCCUACGUUUCCCGAUAGAGCGAACAAACGAGGAGAAGCCAAAUUAAUUCUGUUCAGUCAAGGACGUAAACGAAGAGCAAAAGACUGGAGCACUCGUGACGAUGCCUUCGUGUGCGGCCUCGCCUCAGCCCUACCCGAGUAGGACGCUUAUCCGCCCCCGAUGGCCGCAUAUAUAUUUUUCUCCCACCGCCACUUACUCGCUCUCCAUAGGCGGUUGCCUCACUCUUUGCUGCGCCUGUGCGAACUACUGAUGCUAUCCAAGAGAUUCAACUUAAUCUACUAUUCCGUGCUGACUCCUGCAUCUCCAUGAGAAUAACAAAGAAAAGCGCUUCUUUAAGUGGACUGGGCCUGAAGCACCCUUGGACGGCGAGUGACUGCAAAGGACUCGCUAAAGCUGGCUGUUCGCUCUGUUUAGCCACUGUUCGUGCUGCGUUCUUUCUUCUAUUUCGGACCGUUUUGCUACCCUCCGCUAGAUAUUGUGUGUAAGGAUUACACGGGAACGAGGACGAAAACUUUUGUACACAAUAUGUGAUCCAAUGGUGCAAUUGGGGCUAGGCGGAAGAUGGCUCGUGAAGUGCGUUAAGUGUCGUGGGACUGCGAGCCAUUUGAUCAGAAUGUAAUUUUGGUAGGCAUGGCAUUUCCAAGCGAAUAUUCAGCUCAGGUAACUAGCUACUGGCUGAUGAUAUCGAGAGGCAGUUAAGCCCUACCGUACUUCAAGGCAUCGGUUGCUAGAUGAAUCGCGAAGUGGGAUCUUUCUUUUUUAGAUUCGUAUUUGACUUCCGGAUUAUCAUCUUAGCCGUUUAGAAUUACUUAUUUCAACCUUACGGAGUUGAAUGCCGUCUUCGUAGAAUCGCUCAACGUUAUGCGCUAUUAUUAAGAUACUCGUUCUUCGUACA